Molecule: ribosomal RNA, 72 nt
Filed under: Morganella morganii
Lineage: Bacteria; Pseudomonadati; Pseudomonadota; Gammaproteobacteria; Enterobacterales; Morganellaceae
Description: partial 16S ribosomal RNA
Rfam family: Bacterial small subunit ribosomal RNA
Source: RNAcentral
UUUAAUUGAAGAGUUUGAUCAUGGCUCAGAUUGAACGCUGGCGGCAGGCCUAACACAUGCAAGUCGGGCGGU